Molecule: long non-coding RNA, 2643 nt
Filed under: Panax ginseng (ginseng)
Lineage: Eukaryota; Viridiplantae; Streptophyta; Magnoliopsida; Apiales; Araliaceae
Description: long non-coding RNA (PGIN_LNC001551)
Source: RNAcentral
AGAAAGAGGGUUCAAGUCCUCUAUUUCCUUUCUCACUGAGUGUCUUCGUCUCUCAUCUCUCUCUAUUUAGCCUCUUUUCGUUCCAUCUGAAAACAAAAUCUAGGGUUUUCCUAGAUUUCCUGAAACUCUCAAAUCUCUAGAUCCAUGGCAAAGACAAUGCGAGGGCACACCUUUAACACCAAUCGACAGUCGGUUCAACGAAGCACAGAGUCAACCUUAGCACCUAGAGAAGCUCUAUGAUUGAACUAGAACCUCUCUAAGCUUGCAUCUGAUUUGGGAUGCUUCUUUAAAUGAGAUGAAGUGAAAAAGGACAGACAUCUAAGGGUAAAUGUAAAACCCUUUUCAUAGUGAGUCUUGCUCGGCAUAAAAUAGGUAUGUGCUCGGUAACAAAAGCCCCUUUGUUUUCUUGCUGAAUUCCUUAACAAUCAUAGUAAAGUUUGGAUCUUUACGUUGCAAUUGCUGUGAUUUAAUAGAUUUUGGCUUUAAUUUCAAAAUGAAAUAUGGGUUCACAUUGUAUAUUUUUUUUUAUGAUUUAAGUAUGCAAUUUAGCAAAUUUGAAAUUGGUGGUAAGAUAAUUUAUCUAGUAUGUAGGGAAAUAAUAACAAAAAGGUGGAUUUUUUUUGUUCCUUUCCUGUUGAUUGACAACACUGCUUUAUGUGAAGAUCUAGAGAAUUUGUUACAUUAGAGUUUGUUAUUUACUUUCAACACAAAGAUUGAAGAUGAUAGUAUUGAAGAGGUAUGUUUUCCAUCUAAUUAGCUACUUAAAUUGCUUUGUGAUUUGAACCCCUUUAGUUUUUAAGAUUUAUCUCUCAGAGGUGGAAUAUUUAUUUUUACUUAACUUUUUGGCCAAAGAGUAAUGGAGUAGUAUGUAUCAAAUUCUUGAUUGUGUUAAUGUGGUGACAUUGGCUUUUGGGCAGUAUAGCAUGGCUCAAAACUCAUUUUGUUGUGCUUGAGUCUGGUUUCGAUUUUUAGAACUCUGAUCUUUAUGUCAUGUAUACUCAUUUUCUGCAUAAGAGUUCUGUCUUUCAUUAGGUAUAUAACAAGCAACUCUGUGAAGAACAACCUCUAUUGGAAUUGAGAAACUAAAAUCUACGACACCCAUUUUGUCGGAAGCUAGUUGCAUUUUCAUUAAUAUAAGGGGAAAUUAGUAUUUUAGACUCUAAAGAAAUCACAUUGCUUCAAUAAUGUAUUUUAAAAUUUUAGCAUGUACUUACAAUAGAUGUUGGGACAAAAACCUUUUCGACUUCCCCUAAGGUUGUAGCUAAGAAGUUGAUUCUGUAAGGAUCCACCUUCGUUUCCCUCUUGACAAACUAUAUGGUGAAUUAUUCUUUGAUUACUGAUUCUAGUAUAUACAUGUUGCACACUGAGAGCUAUUUUUCCCUUAAGUCAGCUAUAAAUUGACCAUUAUUUUUUGGACUUUAUAAAUGCAUCAUUCUAAUUCAGUUUUGAGGGAAUUUGGAGCCAUUCUUCCCUAAAUUGGUUGUGGAGCUACAUCAAUUUAAUUCACCUAUUGAGAUACAUUUUAUCAUAAAUUAAUGUAUGAAGAGCAGUUUCCCCAUCUUUCCAUGAUCUUCCAAUUUUUAUUGAUAAUCUUAUACUGAUAAGUAAUUUGCUCACUGUAAUUAUAGCACACCAUGCAUACAAACAUCUGAUCUUUCUGAUGCUAUUUUAAAUUCUAAUAGAUAAAUAUAAUGCCAUGGGGACAAAAUUGUUCUCCCUUUGUCUUUUUUGUAGAAUUUCAUGCUCCUAAAAUAAAGAAUAUAUUUAUAUAGAAAAUGAGAGUGUAUCUAAAUGAGAAUAAAUAAUGGGUAUUCCCAGAGUCUUGGAAGAAAAGAAAAUUAGUCUUGGUUGAUAUAUGAUAGCUUUCCAUUGAGGUUUUUAUAUUGGGUUUGAACGGGUAUGAGAAACGGCACUUGUUGUCAUACAUUUGUUACACGUGGCUGAGUGGAGAGGGAGACUAAAAGUCUAGCUCAAUAUAGUGAUACAGUCCUAAUAUACUAUAAAUGGCUGUAAGAAUAGAAGUUGUAAAAAAUAGAAGCUCUUUUAGCCAUGCUACAGGUACCUUGUACUCUUAUUGAUAGAAUUCAAUUUUGUUUCUUAUGGCAUGACAUGGUACUUUUGUUUUGACUAACUUCAAUACUGCAGGUAGUUGCAACUAGGAAAGAAGAAAGACAUGUUAAAAGAUGGACUGCUCAGGUAGUUCCCAUUUUGCUACAAUCUUAUUAAUGAUCCUUAAUAGUUUUGGGCUUCUGCACAAGUAAUCGUGCUGAAUUCAUGGUGUAUAUGCGUUAAUUCAGUUUGUUACUGUAUUUAAUUUAUGUACCGUUAUCACUUGAUAAUCUUCUGUACUUUUAGAGACUUAGCCAGACUUUUAGAGAUUUGUAAAUUUACAUGUUUCAAUAUCCUCAUGUUAUAUCAUAGGAUAUGCAGUAUCUGCUCUGUGGAUUUGAAAAUCUUCAGCAUUGAUAAUGUGACGCCCCCAAAUUUGGGUAUCUUCAAACCAGACAUAUGGUGCUACACGGUACUCAUAAUUAUACAAUCAUUCCAUUAAAAAUACAACGUAAUGAAUGUAUUAAAUAUCUUCUUAUUAGAAUCAUAGUAAAAUCAUUUCCCAGGUUCAUAAACCGAUUACAUCAUUUGCUG